GAUUGCCANUGGGGGAACCCUGAGGCAGCAACGCCGCGUGGACGAUGACGGCCUUCGGGUUGUAAAGUCCUUUUCUGGGGGAAGAACAAGACGGUACCCCAGGAAUAAGUCCCGGCUAACUACGUGCCAGCAGCCGCGGUAAAACGUAGGGGGCGAGCGUUAUCCGGAUUUACUGGGCGUAAAGCGCCCGCAGGCGGCGGGUCAAGUUGGACGUGAAAGCUCCUGGCUUAACUGGGAGAGGUCGUACAAAACUGACCGGCUAGAGGCUGAGAGAGGAGAGCAGAAUUCCCGGUGUAGUGGUGGAAUGCGUAGAUAUCGGGAGGAAUACCAGUGGCGAAGGCGGCUCUCUGGCUCAGAACUGACGCUGAGGGGCGAAAGCGUGGGGAGCGAACGGGAUUAGAUACCCCGGUAGUCCACGCGGUAAACGAUGGAUACUAGGCGUAGAAGGUAAUCAACCCCUUCUGUGCCGCAGCCAACGCGAUAAGUAUCCCGCCUGGGGACUACGGCCGCAAGGUUAAAACUCAAAGAAAUUGACGGA
RNAcentral lists this ribosomal RNA (538 nucleotides) under uncultured bacterium. RNAcentral's name for it is "bacterial SSU rRNA". It matches the Rfam family "Bacterial small subunit ribosomal RNA", at positions 359 to 917 of the family's 1533-position model. The record is from RNAcentral.